CUUAUCCGAAGCGGUUACCUAAUCUUAAUAUAGUAUUGUUUUGUGAUUUUUUCACCCUCGACAUGUAAUAUUCGACAUUUAACCCUCGACAUGUUACCCUCGACAUUUAGCAGUCGACAUUUAACCCUCGACUUUUUACCCUCGACUUUUUACCCUCACCCUCGACUUUUUGCCCUCGCCCUCGACAUUUAACUCUCGACACUCGAC
This is a non-coding RNA of Paramuricea clavata, 207 nucleotides long. NCBI's taxonomy places the organism in Eukaryota, Metazoa, Cnidaria, Anthozoa, Malacalcyonacea, Plexauridae. The record is from the annotation of a GenBank genome assembly.